Long non-coding RNA from Neogale vison (American mink), 1901 nucleotides. RefSeq lists it as uncharacterized. The record is from RefSeq and is a predicted model, not a curated record. The transcript has 4 exons. NCBI's taxonomy places the organism in Eukaryota, Metazoa, Chordata, Mammalia, Carnivora, Mustelidae.
GGUCCCACCAGCCGUAUAACACAUGGAUUCCAGUUCUGGUCCCAGGUGACAGCUUCAGACCCCACCAGUCCCAGUACAUGGGAUGGGGACGUACAUGGCCAGUUAUGUAAAGGGAAGUCCUGGUUCGUAUGCAGCACGUCCACUCACAUCCCCUUGGCUAAAACGGUCCCAUGUCUACGUCUGGAUGCAAAGGAGGAAGACAGUUCCACUGAGCAGCUGUAUGCCCAGCCCAGUUCAGUCACAGCGGGAGAACCGGUAAAAUUUCCGUCUCAAAACCCAACCUGGCUUCGCCACCGUCACCUGUCACACUCACAUCCCAGUCACGGAAAGAGAAGAAGAGCAAGACAUGUUCCUUCUCUCGGGACACGACCAGAAGUUGCUCGUUCCUCACGCCUGGAUUCCGGGGGCGCAAGGAAGGCGGCGGCCGCGGUCCGGAGUGGCCCGUGCGCAGGCACCGGUUCCGUCUCCGCGGGAGGUAGACAGGACAGACACCAGACGCAGCCAGCAGCCCCCCUCCCUGUGCCAUUCACUGUCACUCGCCGCUGAGCCUGACCUGGCUUGUGUGCCCGUUGGAAAGGUGGGGGAGAUUGACCCCACGCCCUUGAGGCUGAUUGCCUCGGCCGGGAGGACUGGAAGGGCGCGGAGAGAGACCUGAUGAGUAUUUGUUGAAUAAAUGGCUAAAUGCCAGGUGACAAGAGUCGCGAGCCCGUGCCUUCUCGAUCCCGCCACCAUCGGGCCUUCUUUCCGUGGCAUCGGCUUCGUGGAGAAAGUGCGACUUACCCUCGACUCAAAAGCAGGCGUGAACUGUAAAUCGGAAGGAAGGAGGCCCCGAGACAUCCUCCACGCGGGUCUUUGCAAUCGCACCUCUGGAGCUGGCCGGCUGGCAGCUCAGCACAGACCUGCUCCAGCGGCUCGACUCUCGGUCCUUCUCUGAGCGACAGGAAGGCGCACGUUCGUGUAAAGACUCACGCGGGACCGGACCUCACAGCUGUGUGUGCAGCAGCAGGAACCCGUAACAGCUCAUGUGUCCUUCGGUUGUGGAUGGAGGAACCGCCGGCGGUUCAGUCGCACAAGGAAACACCGCUCAGCAGUGAGAAGACACACCUGCUGACACCCGCAGUAAUAAGUAGCUCCGGCCCUGACCUCAGGAUCCCGAGACCAAGCCCCACAUCAGGGUCCAUGUUGAGCUCAGCAUCUGCUUGGACUCUCUCUCCCUUUCCCUCCGCCCCUCACCCCUGCGUGUUCUCUCUCUUAAAUAAUUAAAUCCUAAAAAAAAAAGAAAAAUAGGUUUAUGUAAUAUGGCCAGGUACAAAAUUAAUAUGCAGAAUUCGGUAUUUUCUAAAUAUGCAGAAAACAAACACUAUAGGAUGGAAAAAAGCUGAUACCACUGAGAACAAUGAAAUUCUCACUACUUGGUCACUUCUUCUGAACAUUUUCUACUUCUGUGUCCUUCUCAAAGUGUUAUGUUGGGAAUCAGCCGGAAUGUGUUUAUGGUCCUAAAGCAUUUCCGGAGAAGCUCUGUGUGAUCCGAAGGGUCAUCCUCUUCCCUUCAUUCAGUGUAAUGCCUUGGUUUCUAUUUCAUUCAACAGAUCAGUUGAAAACCAUGUUCGUCCAGCUGCAGGCCAUAGCCUGACCAAUCCUACCAUUGGUUGUUUAGGACUUUACCAAUGAGUUAAUUUAUGUAAAUUAAUUAUGUAAAGUAUCCUUCUUCAUAUUGGAUAUUUUUCUGUAUGAUGACGGACUCAUAUAAUUCAGGAGAGCUGGGUAGACAACAGCAAGAAAAUAUUUGUGUCCUCAGUAACUUGUAUAAAUAGAACUUAAAUCUUUUGCUGUAUGGUAUUUUAGAAUAUAUGUUAAAACGAAAGUAUGAAAUAAACUGUUCUUGGUCAUUUAAAGUCAAA